GACGAACGCUGGCGGCGUGCCUAAUACAUGCAAGUAGAACGCUGAAGAGAGGAGCUUGCUCUUCUUGGAUGAGUUGCGAACGGGUGAGUAACGCGUAGGUAACCUGCCUGGUAGCGGGGGAUAACUAUUGGAAACGAUAGCUAAUACCGCAUAAAAUGGAUUAUCGCAUGAUAAUCCAUUGAAAGGUGCAAAUGCAUCACUACCAGAUGGACCCGCGUUGUAUUAGCUAGUUGGGGGGGUAACGGCCUACCAAGGCCACGGUACAUAACCGGCCUGGGAGGGGGAUCGGCCCAACUGGGAACGGGGCACGGCCCCGACUCCUACGGGAGGGAGCAGGAAGGGAUCUUCGGCAAUGGACGGAAGUCUGACCGGGCCAAGCCGCGGGGGUGAAGGAGGGUCUCGGAUCGUAAAGCUCUGUUGUAAAGGAAGAACGAGUGUGGGAGUGAAAAGUGCACACUGUGACGGUAUCUUACCAGAAAGGGACGGCUAACUACGUG
Molecule: ribosomal RNA, 497 nt
Filed under: uncultured bacterium
Lineage: Bacteria
Description: partial 16S ribosomal RNA
Rfam family: Bacterial small subunit ribosomal RNA
Source: RNAcentral